RNAcentral lists this ribosomal RNA (500 nucleotides) under Salmonella enterica. RNAcentral's name for it is "partial 23S ribosomal RNA". The record is from RNAcentral. Lineage: Bacteria; Pseudomonadati; Pseudomonadota; Gammaproteobacteria; Enterobacterales; Enterobacteriaceae.
GACACGUGGUAUCCUGUCUGAAUAUGGGGGGACCAUCCUCCAAGGCUAAAUACUCCUGACUGACCGAUAGUGAACCAGUACCGUGAGGGAAAGGCGAAAAGAACCCCGGCGAGGGGAGUGAAAAAGAACCUGAAACCGUGUACGUACAAGCAGUGGGAGCACAGGUUUACCUGUGUGACUGCGUACCUUUUGUAUAAUGGGUCAGCGACUUAUAUUCUGUAGCAAGGUUAACCGUAUAGGGGAGCCGYAGKGAAACCGAGUCUUAACCGGGCGUUAAGUUGCAGGGUAUAGACCCGAAACCCGGUGAUCUAGCCAUGGGCAGGUUGAAGGUUGGGUAACACUAACUGGAGGACCGAACCGACUAAUGUUGAAAAAUUAGCGGAUGACCUGUGGCUGGGGGUGAAAGGCCAAUCAAACCGGGAGAUAGCUGGUUCUCCCCGAAAGCUAUUUAGGUAGCGCCUCGUGAAUUCAUCUCCGGGGGUAGAGCACUGUUUCGGCUA